This 524-nucleotide ribosomal RNA is filed under the name uncultured bacterium. Its description in RNAcentral is "partial 16S ribosomal RNA". It matches the Rfam family "Bacterial small subunit ribosomal RNA", at positions 28 to 523 of the family's 1533-position model. The record is from RNAcentral.
GACGAACGCUGGCGGCGUGCCUAAUACAUGCAAGUCGAGCGCAGGAAGCUGACGGAACUCUUCGGAGAGAAGGCGGUGGAAUGAGCGGCGGACGGGUGAGUAACACGUAAGGAACCUGCCUCAAGGAUUGGGAUAACUCCGAGGAAUCGGAGCUAAUACCGGAUAGUUCAACGGACCGCAUGGUCCGCUGAUGAAAGGCGCUUCGGCGUCACCUUGAGAUGGCCUUGCGGUGCAUUAGCUAGUUGGUGGGGUAACGGCCCACCAAGGCGACGAUGCAUAGCCGACCUGAGAGGGUGAUCGGCCACACUGGGACUGAGACACGGCCCAGACUCCUACGGGAGGCAGCAGUAGGGAAUCUUCCACAAUGGACGAAAGUCUGAUGGAGCAACGCCGCGUGAGUGAUGAAGGUUUUCGGAUCGUAAAACUCUGUUGUAAGGGAAGAACACGUACGAGAGGGAAUGCUCGUACCUUGACGGUACCUUACGAGAAAGCCACGGCUAACUACGUGCCAGCAGCCGCCGUAA